Long non-coding RNA from Herpailurus yagouaroundi (jaguarundi), 781 nucleotides. RefSeq lists it as uncharacterized. NCBI's taxonomy places the organism in Eukaryota, Metazoa, Chordata, Mammalia, Carnivora, Felidae. The transcript has 4 exons. The record is from RefSeq and is a predicted model, not a curated record.
UCCUGUCCCUUCAUCCUGGGCCUCCUCCCAGAAGAAGGCCCCAACUUGCCCACAAGGAGAAGAAUCCAGAUUACUGCUGCUGCCAUGGCUGCCCCAGCCUGCCCGGCCCCCGCUCUGUUCUGGCAACUACAACUUGGCCAGGACGCUGCUUACCUCUCGACGCCCUUGUGAGGAAGCCUCAACAUCAUGAACUCCGGCGCAUGCGUACAGAGCACCUACCGCGUGCCAGGCACAGAGGAAGCCUCGACGGGCAGCACCCUGCCCCCCACGGAGCUUGCACACCACCGGUAGCAGGGCCCGAACCCAGUGCAGCCAGGCCCACAGAGGCCAGCUUCCUUACGGAUCCUUUUUCCCUCCGCCUCCAAACCAGGGGACCCGGGGACUGUGCCAGGGGUCAGCUGGAAGUCCCCUGUGGCCCACCAGAGGACCUCUCCCACUCAGAGCUGUCUGGAUGAGCAGGUGAGGCAAAGGCGGAUGGAGGAAGGGAACUCUGAGAGCCGGUCUCCUCCUCAGGCACCCACUGCACAAGAUCCAGAGAGCAGAUGAAAAACAGAAGCCACCAUCCAAACACAGGAAUGUAUAUUAUUAGCAGUUGGAGCAGGCACUGGCGUCCUUCGAAUCCGCUGCCGACCAACUAUAUUGCCCAAUCCUUCCGGUUCAUUUUUUUCUUUGACCUCCCUGCAUGUCUCUGGAGCUCCCACAGCUAUGGCUGUCUGCGUUGCAAAAUACAUAUUUACAGGCCCUCUAAGCCUGGCUAAAUAUAGGCUUUCUUUUAAAGCAA